CUCUAGAGUUAAGACGUUGGGUCCAUGUCCUCGAUUAUUGUACCACCGCUUUGACCAUCGUUUCAGAGAAAUUCAUCUGCUCUUUCUUCCUUGAGGUAGACACAAGCGUGCAUGUAUGGCCGGUCGAUGCCGCUCGCCGUCGCAGCCCUCGGCAGCCGAUACCCGCUUGAUUCCCUCUCGGGCGCCGCUUCCCUUGCUUUCUUCCGGACCUCCUGCCAAGCUACAGAGGCUCAACUACCGGCAACACAUCGAGGACAACAAGGCUCCGGCGGUGCUGUGGAGGUUGGGGUGAGGCCGAACCUCUACUUGGCAGCUCGGCGCGACCUGGGCCAUGAGCGGCCGGCACCCCGGCGAGGAUGGCCAUCCACGGCCUGCUCCCGCCAUGUUUCUGAGCGUCGCCCCGGCAGUUCCGCCGCUACUGCUCGCGGAAGAUGGCGGGCCGCCGCCGUUCGCGGGAUAUGGGCCACGCCCUGAACCAGACGCCGACGACCUGGCGUCCCUCCGGCCCUUCGCCAACGGUCUGUACCAUGAAGUCGCCGGUUAACUCUGGUAGGGGGCUAACGGCGGCGGGUCGGGCUACGCCUGGACGGGUAUCUCCUGUGAUCUCGGGAGGGUGGUGAGGCUAGAUCUCUCAAAUCGGAGACUCUGCAGCCUCCCUCCACUGCGCGUUCGAGCUUUUUUUCUUGGUUUGUGCCUCUUCUCUGUCUCUCCGUGCGGCCUCUUCUCGGUUAUGAUGGUGUGGGGAUCCCCGCGUGGGUCUCUCCAUGGCCGUGGUCGCCCUUCUGGUGGUGGAGAUGCUGGUGAUGGAGAGCCCGUGGCGGUAGAGAUGCUGCUGGAGUGCUGGUGGAGGAGCCAUGGCGGCGGCGGGCUUCGUGGUGGUGGAGGUGCUCCUGGUGGACAGGCCCGCCGUGGUGCUGCUGCUAUGCGAUGCCAUCCAUCAUUAUCAGGGCGUGUGUUCUGCUGUGGAUCGAUCUUGUGGUGAUGAUGGAUCUUGCAAUGCGUCCUCAGCGGCGGCAUGUUCCUUCACAACCGCUACUGCUUCUUGUACCUUUUUCCCUCCUGCUGACUGCUGUAUUCAGUCUUUUUUUCAGUUUUGGUUGCAUAUGGUCAUGCUCCAUCUGGUUCUCCUUCGGCUUCUCUGGCUGCCCAAAUCGGUCAAAGAGCUCCAGUGUGGGCAAGGGGCGUACGCCAGUUUGCUCUGGCCUUUUUCUUUAAAAGAGUUGCGCUUCAUUGACUGUGGGACUGCCUCUACUCACUUAUAUCGUCUCUAACCAAAAAAAUUAUCUUUGUUCAUCUUAUGCAUAACUGAAUCCAUGCAAGUUCUCCAUCUAAACAGGUUAUUUUAACUAUUUUAAAGAUAAUGUAGUUAUUGUUGUUGAAUUGUAUCAGAUUGGUUUCCUGUUAUAUUCUACGGUAUUGAAACUCUAAAUGUAAAAUAUAAUACACUGACUUUUGCCUGAGAGAUCUCCACCAUUCCAUUAUUGAUGGGGUGAACUGAUCGCAGACUACACAUGGCUUAUGUUUGGCUUGGUACCAACAAGGAUAGGUAUGCCCUCUGUUUCAAGUACUUUAUCUGCAUUGCACCGUCGCAAUUUAGUAGAUAAUUAAGACUUUGUUUGCGAUCUUUAGGCAUGUUGAUUCUUCAUGAUGACAAAAGGUAGACAGUAGGGCAGGCGCAGUAUCUGUACAUUUAUCUAAAACUGACAUUAUGUGCUGCUUGAGUUCACACUUAUACAUGGUGUCUAUCUGAAACUGACAGUAUGUGUUGCUUGAGUUCGCACUUGGUGUCAGCUGAAAUCUAGAUUACCAAAGAAGUGUAUGCAAGAUAUGUCACCACAAGAAAAGUUCUCCUUGCAUUUUAGAUAAGGUUAUCAUCUCUUUUGUUUGGGACAUGCAAGAUGGAAGGGGCACUGAAAAAAUGGAUUCUACAAAGGUGAUGCAUCCUGCUGCCUAGGAAAGGAAGUAGCAAGUUUGACGGCAGCAAGCUUGGGCUUCAGCUUCUUCAACAUCAAACAAGACGUCCAACAGAGAAUUGGAUGUUGCCACGGUGAUCACAAGCCAGCAGGUCAAUGGGCAAAUCCCCUGUCUACCCACUAAACAAGACAUCAACAUUGAUUCAUCUUUCAUGCUUUAGCUCGCAGCUAGCCGGUAAUUUUGUCGUGUACAUGGUGCUCCUGAUAUUUUUGUGGUUCAGGAUUACCAUGACAGUAUGGGGAUUUGUCGUGUACAUGGUGCUUCUGAUCUUUUUGGUACUUUUACAUGUAAUCCCAAGUGGCAAAAGAUUAGUGAUGCUUUGGCUUUGGAGCCAGUCCAGUCCAUGUCAGAUCACCCUGAUAUUGUUACAAGGGUUUUCCAUAUGAAAUAUGAUGAAUUUCUUACUGAUGUAAAGAGGGCUGCUUUAUUUGGUCCUGUCGAAGCGUGCAUGCAUUUUCCCCCCUUGUGCUAGGUUUCUUGGAUCUGAUUUUCUAAUAUCUGCCGUAUGAGCUUUGCUGGUUUAUUGGGCUUUUUGGUCUGUUGUCUCUUUCUUUCCUCUUUUCUCUCUUAGUACUCUGUUUAUUCUGGCAUUAUUUGUUGCAGAUCUUUAUGUUGUCGAAUUUCAGAAGAGGGGUUUGCCGCAUAUACAUGCUCUUAUUUCAUUGAAGAGAAAUACUAGGGAUCCACAUAUACAUGCUCUUAUUUCGUUGAAGAGAAAUACUAGGGAUCCUUAUUCAGAGUUGAUUCAUAGCUUCAUUUCAGCAGAACUUCCUGAUCCUAAGAAUGAUCCAUUAGGCUAUGCUCUUGUGGAUGAAAUCAUGAUGCAUGGUCCUUGUGGUGAUUUGAAUCAAAACUGUCCUUGUAUGAAAGAGGUGGUCUGUUCCAAACAGUUUCCUAAGGCCUAUAAUGAUGAAGCUUUAAUUGAUGAUAAAGGGUUUCCAGUAUAACGUCGGCGUGAUGAUGGCCAUUUCAUUCUUAGGAGCAGGGUUAUUGUUAAACUCACAAAUAAGUGGGUUGUCCCGCAUAAUUUGGGUUUGUUGAAAAGGUUUCAGGCCCAUAUUAAUGUGGAGUGGUGUAACAAAACAAAAUUUGUUCAAGUAUGUUUCCAAAGGUCAUGAAAUGUCACGUAUACAUUUUCAAGCUGCCUCUAAUUCUGGUUGGUUGAUGCUUCUGGAUUGCCUCUUGGCAGAAAUGAGAUAGAGGAAUACAGUACCUUUCGGCAUAAUGAGGCGUGUUGGCGCAUGUUUGCCUACGAUAUGCACGGGCGUCAGCCUUCUGUUGAACGGCUUAUUGUCCACCUGCCUGGUAUGAAUAGAAUUAUUUUUCAUGAGGAUGAUCGCCUUGCUUGUUUGGUCGAUAAUUCGUCAUUUUAAGGACUAUGUUAGCAGAAUGGUUUGUGGCCAAUCGAGAUCAUACAGACGCUAGGUCCUUGACUUACCUAGACUUUCCUACUCACUGGGUUUGGGAUUCUUCUAACGAGGUUUUCUAUAGUAAGAGAAAGAAAAUGAGGAAACUUCCUAAUAGGAUUGGAAGAAUAUAACAUGUUCGCCCUGGUACUGGUGAAUUGUUUUUUUUUUUCCUUCGGAUGCUGCCUUUUGGUAGUGGCUGGUGCUACCUGUUUCGAAGAUCUCCGGCUGUACAUCGUGUUCUGUAUGGUACUUUUAAAGAAGCAUGUCAGGUUCGGGGUUUGGUUGGUGCUGAUAAUGAGGCUCCGGGUUUGAUAAUGAAUGGUUUAGUCUGUUCCAAGAGGCAAUUAUAUGGGCCUCUUCUUUCAGUUGAGGCAUUUGUUCAUGACUGUUUUGUUGUUCUAUAAGGUUAUUAGGGGUAAUGAAUUGUUCGAUCGGUACUGGUUCAACAUGUGGAUAUAUCUUACAGGAUUACCACCUCACUUGGUGGCUAUGUUGUGCUAACCCAGUAAUAAUUCUUCUAUAAAUUUCAUACAAAGGAGAAGAAAAAAAAUGAAAUAUUAUUUAGUAUACAAUAUUAACCCUAUUCAAAGUAAAAUAAAAGAUAAACUAACCGGUUACCACAACCUAGCGCGGCGUGCCGCCGCGCCGGCUGUUGCUAGUACUAUACUUAUUUGGCAACAAACUUCUUUUUUCUCAGAAUUUUGAGACUCUUUGGUAGUUAACCUCAUGGUGACACGUGUUGUUUCAGAUAGUUUGUUAGCUGCUGGUUUUCUACUGUGUAGCAUUUGGUACUCUGUAGCGUUUUGGGGGAAAGUUUGAUUUGUGUGGUGCUUCAGCGGGAUGGCUUGGUGUUUCCUCAAUGUGUGGCCAUAGCCAUAAUUUGGUUGGGACAGUGGUAGGCACGAUUUGCACAACUUGUCGGUACUGUCCACACACACACCGCUUUGACUGGUUAACCUUUCCGCGUGUCCUUCUCCCGAACUUGACCGAAACCAGCCUGGCCUCUUUCUUCUCCUAUUUUCUUCCAUGGUGUCAGGCGCAGCCUCCCAAGUCCCCACCGACGAACUUCUCCGGCGAGCCUACUGUGCCCCCUCCCCCCCUCCACCUCACUUCGUUGUCCUGCGCCUCCUCCACCACAUGAACCGUCAAGCCCCAGACGGCGGCGCACCCGGAGGGCUGCUGCUGCCGCUCCGGGUAGGGCUGCCGCCGCCACGGCCCGGUGGCGGGGCACAGUCAACGUCGGGGCGAAACUCGGGAGAUCGGAUUCUUCAAGAUUGGGGCACGCUGUAACAGCAGGUCGAGCGGCGGUGGCGGAUAUCCGGAGGGUUGAGAUGGGAUCCACUGUGGGGAAGAGGAGGAGGCGGAGGCCGAAGCGGAAGGCCGCCUCCUGGAAGGUCCUCUUCCACCAUCCUCCGGUGCGGCGCCAUCAAGGCUGUCCUCGACAGGAAUGAGCUCGGCAAGGGUAGAUAUUCCUCGGACUGUCGUCGAGGCCCUCCAUGAGCAUAUCACCGCACUCUGCUGGAAAUCCGACUCAAGGUAUGUCCCGAAGAUCACCCGGACCAGAGUCGGAGCGAUCAUUCCAACAAGUUACUCAGUCCUCCUCUGUUAUUUCUCCGCCUGCUUGAUGUUUGUUUCUUUUUCCUAUACUAAUUUGUUGAUGUUACUUGGUCCGAGCGAUGUACCUCGGGGUCAAGUCGGCAAGAGUGCCGUCUGCAGGAGUGGUGUAUGUUGGGCAGACAUACCGCCGGGCUUGAGGGGCUGCCGAAGGCGGUUGACUUGGAGGGAGAAAGGAGCAAUGGUUUUGCGGCUUAAGUCGUGGCGAGCAGGGCAUGUAGGUGACGACCACGGGAGCCAUGCGCGUCGUGCUGCAAUGUACGUUGUGGCCCCCUAAACUCUAACUCAGUUAGAAUUUGUCAGAAGUGGAUGCAGUUCAGCGGGGGCUUGGAGUCCCACAAGCAGGGUCUCGGAACUGUCCAGAGAAGAUUGAGCAAUGAGGACAGCCAAAAAGAUAUAGUAGGAGGCUAUUCAUAGAAGAGAACAAUAGACAGGGAAGAUCCAAUUGGAGGCAGUUACAAAAUUGCAAUCACAAUUUCAAGAGGAAGGUUAAGGUUUGUCUUAUUCACGUUCACAAUUCAAUGGUAAACUUCAUUUGAAGAUUUUUCAUCUACAUCUCAGUCCGGCCUUAGUCACAUGAACAAAAUCAUUGUUAUUAGUUUUUUUCUUACUAAACGCAGCUUGGGAUCUGCUCAAACAGAUUGGUCAGUAUAUUAUAUGAAGGCACAAGUUGUUCUGAGUCUAAUUCUUCAUACCAAUACUGCAGAAAUAUAUGCUAAGAAAUAAUUCCUAGGAAGAGCUACAGAAAUAGCAAUGUGAGAAAACGAUGGGUAUUUACUGCUCAUUAUCAAUCGACUAUACAUCAUAUAAAGAUUGCUACUCCCUUCGUCUCAGAUUAACAGGCACGCACGUAGUUUAAGAAAUUGCUUUGACCAUUAUUUUAGUCAAUAAAAUAUGAAAUAUAUGACACAAAAAUUAUAUCAUUGGAAAGCUUUUUUUGCAUACGAAUCUAACGAUAUAUAUUUUGUAGACAUAAAAGUUAUAUUUUGUUGACCAAAUCAAUGGUCAAAGUUUGUCUUGAAUUGCGUGCAUGCCUGUUAAACCGAACCGGAGGUAGUAUGUUAAAUAACCUGAUUACAUGUCCUUACUGCAACAGAACAGGGAUGUAUUACUGUAAAUAUUAACUAACUUCUUCAUGAUUUAGAGUAUUCUAUAUAACUAAAAAUACUAUGAGUGCUUUACCACUACAAUAUCCUGCAGAUGAGCUCUUGAUUAUUCUGCCAAAGCUCUCAGGAGUCAAGAGCAUGUGUAUAGAUGGUUAAAUGUGUGGACUGCUAUGACACCAUGUAGCCAAAUCUGAUCUGAAUCAUGACUAGCAUGACUCACAAGCAGUUCCUCCAAAUUUAGACUUGAGAUAUAAUUCCCGCAACUUCACUGGCACAUAAACCAUUUGAUGUAUUACUGAAAGAUGCACGAGUGGUGGUUUCGGUUUUUCAGGGUCCUACAGUGAUAGCAUGCACAUAAAGUAUCUUUCAAAAUGGCAAACUUCGAAAUGCACACAGCUUCCUGUUAAAGGUGAAUCCAACAGGCGAUGUAGCAAUUUAAGGACACCCUGGUUGAAAGGCUUUGUCGCAAUCAUUGCUUAAAUGGCUAAUUAUUGAAUACUUUCUCGGAAAUGGAUCAAGAUGAUGUAACUUCAUGCGAGAACAUUUUAUUUUCCUUCCUAUCACUUCUAAGAGAUGGCCGAUCCAUGUCUUUUUGAAUGAGAAGUUCCAUAGUUUGCUUUAAUGUGUAGUAACGUUACUCUUAUGUGAAAUCACACCAUCGGUUAAAAUCUAUAUGUUAUUCUUAUUUUUCCUUGAUAUUUAUUUUGAAUGAUAUUAGUAAUGAAUCCAAAUUUCAUGCUACAAAUACCUCAGCACUACCGUAGUAAUCCAUGUUAUUGCGCGUUUUCUAUCUAUGUAAUAAAUCACAGUAAGGUUGUAUCGC
This is a non-coding RNA of Lolium perenne, 6926 nucleotides long. Lineage: Eukaryota; Viridiplantae; Streptophyta; Magnoliopsida; Poales; Poaceae. The record is from RefSeq and is a predicted model, not a curated record.